UACGUAGGGUGCGAGCGUUGUCCGGAAUUACUGGGCGUAAAGAGCUCGUAGGUGGUUUGUCGCGUUGUUCGUGAAAACUCACAGCUCAACUGUGGGCGUGCGGGCGAUACGGGCAGACUGGAGUACUGCAGGGGAGACUGGAAUUCCUGGUGUAGCGGUGGAAUGCGCAGAGUAUCAGGAGGAACACCGGUGGCGAAGGCGGGUCUCUGGGCAGUAACUGACGCUGAGGAGCGAAAGCCGUGGGGAGCGAACAGG
RNAcentral lists this ribosomal RNA (255 nucleotides) under uncultured bacterium. Its description in RNAcentral is "partial 16S ribosomal RNA". It matches the Rfam family "Bacterial small subunit ribosomal RNA", at positions 524 to 776 of the family's 1533-position model. The record is from RNAcentral.